CGAGAGGACAAGCUGUCCUUCAAGUGUCGAGAAGUUCUGCCACUGAAGAAGUUGUCACUAUGCGCUACAUCUAUAAAGUGGUGGCAAGCCAGUACGACCCCCUUGGGUUUUUAGUACCUUACACCACCAGGGCAAAAGUUGUCAUCCAACACCUGUGGGACAAAAGGUGUGACUGGGACGACUCUGCUCUGCCAGAUCACCUGCUAGCCACAUGGAGAGAGUGGGAGGACGAGUUACCGCACCUACAGAGCAUAGCACUUCCGAGGUGUUACACUUGCUGUGAGUUAGACUCUCCUACCUGUGAGCGUGAGAUCCACGUGUUCUGCGAUGCCUCAGAGCAAGCCUAUGGCUCUGUGGCAUACCUCCGAACCAAGAAUCCUCAUGGAGUGGUCCAUGUAGCUUUCGUCACCGCAAGAUCCAGAGUUGCUCCAAGAAAGCAGCAGUCAAUCCCACGUCUGGAGUUAUGCGCUGCUCUGACUGGAGCACACAUGGCUCAGAUCCUCAAAUCUGAACUCACACUGCCCAUCCAGCGGGUGAUGCUCUGGUCGGACUCUACUACCGUGCUCAAGUGGCUGCAGUCAGAGUCAUGCAGAUUCAAAGUGUUUGUUGGUACACGCGUGGCAGAGAUUCAAGAUCUCACUGAGGGCGACACAUGGCGAUACGUGGACUCUGCACAGAACCCUGCCGACGACAUAACGCGUGGCAAACCUCUCAACACAUUGACACCAGACAGCCGCUGGGGUCAAGGCCCAACCAUCUUGUGGUGUGAACCAGACAAAUGGCCACAAAGUCCUCAGAUUCAGACAGAGGCAGAUCAGAGUGAAGAGCUCAAGAAACCUCAGUUCUGCGGCCUCAUUACUACCACGCCAAGUCUGCUCCCAGACGCUAAGCAGUUCUCUUCCUUCAGAGACCUCCUGACCGCCACAACAAAGACUCUACAUGGGGCGGCCCCAGGCAACGUCACAGCCUACAGGCAAGCCCAGCUGGCUCUGCUACAACAGGUUCAACAAGACAGUUUUCCUAUUGACUAUGACCUACUGCAGUCAGGUAAAUCAGUCGCCAAGAGCAGCACACUUCUCAAGCUUGCACCAGAGUUCGACCACAGUGACAAGCUCAUCCGUGUUGGUGGACGUCUGCGCCAUAGUAACCAGCUGGAACCGGAUACUGUUCACUCGGUGGUGCUGGAUGCCAAACACUCAGUAACGCAGUUGCUCAUCCAAGAGUAUGAUUACCGUCUGCACCAUCCAGGCUCAGAGGGGGUCUUUUCAGAGAUGCGUUGCAAGUAUUGGCUACCAGGAGGACGAGAGGCUAUUCGCCGUUUUCAGCGCAAGUGCCAAGAGUGUCAGAAUUGGCACGGAAAGCCACAAAUCCCAAAAAUGGCAGACCUG
RNAcentral lists this long non-coding RNA (1388 nucleotides) under Carassius auratus (goldfish). RNAcentral's name for it is "lncRNA (ENSCARG00000009198.1)". Lineage: Eukaryota; Metazoa; Chordata; Actinopteri; Cypriniformes; Cyprinidae. The record is from RNAcentral.